Long non-coding RNA from Gopherus flavomarginatus (Mexican gopher tortoise), 527 nucleotides. RefSeq lists it as uncharacterized. The transcript is spliced from 3 exons. The record is from RefSeq and is a predicted model, not a curated record. Lineage: Eukaryota; Metazoa; Chordata; Testudines; Testudinidae.
AGAAGCACCCCGCAGGACACGGUUCCCGCUUGGAAGGGGGGGUGGGGGACGGACAGAGCACACCGCAGGGCAGGUUUCACGCUUGGAAGGGGGGGUGGGGGACAGACAGAGCACACCGCAGGGCAGGUUUCACGCUUGGAAGGGGGGAUCGGUGAGGAAGAAGCACCCCGCAGGACACGGUUCCCGCUUGGAAGGGGGGGUGGGGGACGGACAGAGCACACCGCAGGGCAGGUUUCACGCUUGGAAGGGGGGGUGGGGGACGGACAGAGCACACCGCAGGGCAGGUUUCACGCUUGGAAGGGGGGGUGGGGGACAGACAGAGCACACCGCAGGGCAGGUUUCACGCUUGGAAGGGGGGAUCGGUGAGGAAGAAGCACCCCGCAGGACACGGUUCCCGCUUGGAAGGGGGGGUGGGGGACGGACAGAGCACACCGCAGGGCAGGUUUCACGCUUGGAAGGGGGGGUGGGGGACGGACAGAGCACACCGCAGGGCAGGUUUCACGCUUGGAAGGGGGGGUGGGGGACGG